AUACAAAUUCUAAGGUAGUCAUUGGUGUCAGUUGUAGCAGUGUUUGUGUUGUGGAUGGCUCAUCGGCCGUACCUGGACCUGACACAGGAAUGUGUGUAUGUUGUGUAAUGGGAGCUUGUUAGAAGACGACACGCGUAAGAUGCAAUUUUAAGCCUCCUAUGCUUUACUUUUUGCUCGCACAUUUAUACAAUCCGGAUCUGGUGUUCUCUGAUUUAAAAAAAAAUUCUUGUCUCAUUAACCGUUCACUUUUCUUACUACCCUCUAAUACUUCGCUUCACUUGUUUGAUGUUUAAAAAAUAUACAUAUAGACAUUUAUAUAUAUUUAUAUAUAUUAUUUCUAACCUGCAUUCGAUUCGUAUUUGUCUGUUUACCGACUUUUAUCUACCAGACAGUCAGUGAUAAUAUGUAGAUAGAUAGAUAUGACAUUUGGAAGUUGUUAUGCUGUCUCUAUCUGUCUAUGUUUUGAGGUGAUUAAGAUACUCGCUUCUCAAGUGGAUAUAGAUUCUCUACCCGACAGUGUUUUUUAAAGGAUGCUUGAUUUGGAGGUAAACAUUACAUCAAUUACAAACGCCAAUAUGUAUAUGUACACGCGCACCUGCACACACGCACAACACACAUUCUUGUACAGGAUAUUUCUAAAACGGGGUGAAGGGUUUCGUACCGACUUUAUCUGUUUGUGUGUGUGUGUGUGUGUGUGUGUGUAUGUAUAUAUAUGAGGAUCUUUAUUGAAUCUGUUUUUGUGUGUUUGUAACUGUGGUUCUGUUGUAACUUUGAGUGUGAAUGCAUGUAAUUGUGUGUAAGAGAGACAGACAGAGGGUGCGAGAGAGAAGGAACCUUCCACUUCCGACCGACGCAAAACGUUUUCGUGCUGUUUAUCCUCUCUCGUCGUCGUCGUCAGCAGCUCGGGUGGGUUUCAUUUCUGAACCGUUUAUCGAACUUAUUCGUCGACAGCCGUCCAGCACUUCCUGUCCCGAAUAUAGCUUUUGUUUCUUGACUAUAAUAUCGAUGAUGAAAAAUACAUUUUGCACCUCCAUACAGAUCGAAAUAACACGUUCCUCAAACACAUCCAUAUGAUUGCUCGUUCAGCUUGGCUGGUUUAUGGAAGAGGUAUAUAUAUAUAUAUAUACAUACAUAUAUGUUUGUGGAUUUUUAGAUUAUUCGAGUGGUAGAGUGAAAAAAACCUCUCCAGUUUAAAAUUUUCUGCAAGCCGAUAUCUGUGUAAGCGCUUCAUGUGGUAUACACUAGGGUUAUGUACCCGAACACACACUAUACAUAAAUAUGUAUAAGGAUCAAUGCUGGAUUUAAGCAUAAGCUAAACAAGUUACAACUUAGGGGUCUCAAAAUAAUUAGAAGACAUAUAUGUUAAGCCAAUUUUAUGAGAUGUUCUGAUGUAAUAUAUUUUUUUUUUUACAAUGGGGGUGGAGGCCUUCGGGUUUUAUUGUAACUUAGGCUUCACCAUGUCUAAAUCCUCCGCCGCUGACGAGCAUAUUUAUUAACUCUUCCAAAACAAAUUAAGGUUAUUGCAAAUAUAUUCUGCUAACUUGUGACCUCCCCCCCUCCAGCUCCGAAUAUAUAUAUAGCAACUGGUGUUAUUUCCUUCCUCGGUGCUUUCUCGUCAUUACAGCUGCUGGGACACGGCCACCGUCCAUUGAAGAAGAACACAUUUGCUUGACUAUUAAUUUUGUCUACAAACUCUAAUUUGAAUCUAUUACUACUUAUAGCUCUCUAACUAACUCUCCAACUGUAUUUGCAUAUGUGAAUGCUAAUUAUUACAUACACACGUCUUCUCUAUUCAAAUAUUUAAUCCAUUUUACUACUCAAUAAAUUCCACGCGCUAUAAAGAUUGACACACACACACACACACACACAUUCACAUAUAUUUAUUGAUGUUUGUUUAUAAAAGCUUUCAUACACCAGUCUCUCUAACCUCAACUGUUCUAUAUCUCAUUUUUAUAAAAAAAAAAUUCUCCAUCUUACCGUCUCAUGGUUGUGUCUAUAAGUGUAUAUACAUACACCCAUAACAACUAAAACACACACAUAUAUAUAUAUAUAUAAAGAAUACUGCCUAUCUUAGUCUAUGUUAGGUAUCUCUAUACAUGCCUGUUUAUAUCCAUGAAAGUUGGAGCAGAUGAGUGUGUGCGCCCGUAACCUCAAUUUAGCUGUUAUACAUACAUUAUAUAUAUAUAUAUAUGUGUGUGUGUGUGUGUGCGCGCACAUGUGUGUGUGUGUGUGUUCUGUGGUCGUUUAUCUGUUGUGGGGAAAGUUGAAGCGAAUUCCCUUAUCCUUAUCGACGUUUAUUAUGUAGACGAAGGUUAAUUGGUGAUGAUGGUGGAGGAGGAAUUGGCUUGGGGGCGGAGAAGGAAUAGCCAUUUAUUCACAUCGUUGCUCUGUUCCUUUUCAUCCAUCCAUCCACACACACACACACACACACACAUACAUAUUGCUUUUUAGCUUCUGUCAGAUAUCAAUAUUUUGAUUACACUUCUUUGGUCAUUUUUCUUUUGCUUCUUCGUCUGUAGUAAUAAUUAAAACAUUUUCUAUGAAUUAAUUUCACUGUCUUUUUCUAUAAGCUAAAAUAAAAAUGAAGUAAAAAAUUAUUACAUAUUGUUUAUCUACUGUUAAGUGAUUUGGUAAUAAUUUUUGUAAAUAUCUAUCUUUCCAUCAGCGGAACUAAGCGCAGUGACGAUUUUACAGAAUUAUUACUUUAUUAUUUUCCAUUAAUUAAACAAUGUCUUUCUCGUUUGCUGUAUGUAGUAUUUUAGCUUCAAGUUAAUUAAUUGCGCUAUUUCGGCUGUCCACUUGUUAGCAAUCCCAACAUGUCGGACAUUUCAUUAUGGUGUUAAUAAUAUUAUCACCAUCAUCACGAUUAUUUCAGUAGUUUUUUUUAUAAAUAUUAUUUUUAUUUUGUCUUUUAACUGCCGCUACUGCUGCUGUGCUGGAGUUGUUGAAUCAGAAUACUACUUAGCGGCAUCACAUCACUCUUCUCUAGUUAAUGUCGCACUUAAAUACUUACUGAUGGAACAGACAGAAUUUACAAAGAGCUAGCCUCUUUCUCUAAUAUAAUAUACAUAUAUAUACAUAUAUAUAUAUAUAUAUAUAUAUAUAUAAAUACUUGCACAUAGGCAGUGCUCUGGGUGCGCGCGCGUGCGUGAUUAUUGUUUGUCUUAUUUAAGACUUGAGUUAGAUCCAGCUGUGAAUGGGACACUUUCUGUUGCCAUCCCCUCUGCUUCAGUUCUUGCCGAACACGCUGGUACAUUCGUAUAUAUACACACACACACAGAUAUACAUAUAUAUAUAUAUAUAUAUAUAUAUAUAUAUAUAUAUAUAUAUAUAUAUAUAUAUAUAUAUACCUGUGUGUGUGUAUAUAUAUAUAUAUCUAUCUGUGUGUGUAUUAUGUGAGAGAAAGAAUAAAAAGCCUGUGUACUACUUUUCCUAUGUUAAACAAUUGAGUGACUUCAGUGAAUCUAUUUUUACUAAACAUUUCGAAAAUUAGUUCUCAUAGUAUUAUUUUUUUUUUAGGGGGGUGGAGGAGGCUACAUAGGGGUGUAUACACACACAUAUACACACAUAGUAAUACUGUCAAAGACGGUCUCUGGUUAGACUUAUUUAUACAAUACUGUCAUCCAUCCUAUUUAACCGUAUUCAAUU
RNAcentral lists this long non-coding RNA (3648 nucleotides) under Octopus vulgaris (common octopus). The record is from RNAcentral. Lineage: Eukaryota; Metazoa; Mollusca; Cephalopoda; Octopoda; Octopodidae.